RNAcentral lists this non-coding RNA (30 nucleotides) under Rattus norvegicus (Norway rat). Lineage: Eukaryota; Metazoa; Chordata; Mammalia; Rodentia; Muridae. The record is from RNAcentral.
UCUUAAAGUAAAAAAAUAAAACCUGAGUUG